This is a non-coding RNA of Strongylocentrotus purpuratus (purple sea urchin), 74 nucleotides long. The record is from Rfam. NCBI's taxonomy places the organism in Eukaryota, Metazoa, Echinodermata, Echinoidea, Camarodonta, Strongylocentrotidae.
GUGUCGUGGUCGAGUGGUUUAAGGCAUUUGACUGGAGAUCCGAAGGUCGAGGGUUUGAAUGCCUUCACGGCACU